RNAcentral lists this ribosomal RNA (166 nucleotides) under uncultured freshwater bacterium. RNAcentral describes it as "partial 16S ribosomal RNA". It matches the Rfam family "Bacterial small subunit ribosomal RNA", at positions 361 to 524 of the family's 1533-position model. The record is from RNAcentral.
AUAUUGGUCAAUGGGCGCAAGCCUGAACCAGCCAUGCCGCGUGCAGGAUGACGGUCCUAUGGAUUGUAAACUGCUUUUGUACAGGAAGAAACACUCCCUCGUGAGGGAGCUUGACGGUACUGUAAGAAUAAGGAUCGGCUAACUCCGUGCCAGCAGCCGCGGUAAU